GAUGAAGAACGCAGCGAAAUGCGAUAAGUAAUGUGAAUUGCAGAAUUCAGUGAAUCAUCGAAUCUUUGAACGCACAUUGCGCCCGCCAGUAUUCUGGCGGGCAUGCCUGUUCGAGCGUCAUUUCAACCCUCAAGACCCCUUCGGGGGACUUGGUGUUGGGGACCGGCACAGGGGCCUGCCUGCUUGUCUUGCAGCGCCCUCGCCGCCCCCGAAAUGAAUUGGCGGCCUCGUCGCGGCCUCCCCUGCGUAGUAGCACAACCUCGCAACGGGAACGUGACGGCGGCCACUGCCGUAAAACAACCCAAUUUUAUUAGAGUUGACCUCGAAUCAGGUAGGAAUACCCGCUGAACUUAAGCAUAUCAUAAGCGGAGGA
RNAcentral lists this unclassified non-coding RNA (373 nucleotides) under soil metagenome. RNAcentral describes it as "partial contains 5.8S ribosomal RNA, internal transcribed spacer 2, and large subunit ribosomal RNA". The stretch from base 1 to 120 matches the Rfam family "5.8S ribosomal RNA", at positions 35 to 154 of the family's 154-position model. The record is from RNAcentral.